This 117-nucleotide transfer RNA is filed under the name Nanobdellota archaeon. Its description in RNAcentral is "tRNA-OTHER". It matches the Rfam family "tRNA". From Rfam's summary of the family: Transfer RNA (tRNA) molecules are approximately 80 nucleotides in length. Their secondary structure includes four short double-helical elements and three loops (D, anti-codon, and T loops). Lineage: Archaea; Nanobdellati; Nanobdellota. The record is from RNAcentral.
GGACCGGUAGCUCAGCUUGGUGGAGCACCUGGAGGGGUGGCAUUGUGACCCUUGGUGAAACUUUUACCAAAGUUGGAAGACAUCAGGUGGUCGCGGGUUCAAAUCCCGUCCGGUCCA